CGAGCCGACUGCAGCUCUCUUCGCCAGAAAUCGCCGAUUUUCUUCUCCAAUGGAUUUCUCCCUCCUCAGGCAAGCGUUUGAGGUGAAACAAAGUCCAGACCAGCUCGCCUCCUCCCCACGAGCAGCCUGGUGGCCUCCUUUCCUCCCCUCACGGCGGCUACGCGGCGGUGGAGCUCGAAACCGAUUUUUGCUCAAUUUUGAGUCAACGCCGAUAUCUCGAGUUCUAGACGAUCAAUCUUCGAGAUUCUUGACAGAUGAACUCGGAUUGAAGUUCUGAAACAGUUUCAUGAAGAAAUCGAAGCGAGUGGUGGACGUUUUCACGUCGAUCAGAGCACCUGCCGGUUUCUGGAAAAAUUCCGGCGAACCCGUGGCUUCUAGGUGAUUGACGGUCUUCCUUGGUGAGCGGUUUUGGUGUGUAUUGUGAAAGUGAAGACGCAGCGGGAUUAGAGCGGGUAAUCCUACAGGUCAGGAAAAUCGAGAAGGUGAUCAGGCUGCUUAGAGUAGUGAGAUUGGAGUUACAACUUUAUUGUGAGGUUGUUAUGCUCAUUGAGCUUACAUUUAAAUUUGGUGAGAGUGUGUUGUAAUAUUAAAUUCUUGAGGAUUUGGUUUAUGUAUUAGUGAGUGAGGCUAGAUGUGUUUAUAUCUGAGAAAAAAUUCAGAAUGUUUUAUUUGAUUAAGUUGUUUAUUUCAUGUUUCGGAUUUGAAUUUAUUAUUCAAAAUUCGGGGCGUGACAAUUGCAUGUCCAUUGGGAUUGAU
Rosa chinensis is the source of this 756-nucleotide long non-coding RNA. RefSeq lists it as uncharacterized. The transcript is spliced from 3 exons. The record is from RefSeq and is a predicted model, not a curated record. NCBI's taxonomy places the organism in Eukaryota, Viridiplantae, Streptophyta, Magnoliopsida, Rosales, Rosaceae.